UACAGAGGGGGCAAGCGUUGUUCGGAAUUACUGGGCGUAAAGGGCGCGUAGGCGGCCGCCUAAGUCAGACGUGAAAUCCCCCGGCUUAACCUGGGAACUGCGUCUGAUACUGGGAGGCUUGAGUAUGGGAGAGGGAUGUAGAAUUCCAGGUGUAGCGGUGAAAUGCGUAGAUAUCUGGAGGAAUACCGGUGGCGAAGGCGGCAUCCUGGACCGAGAUUGACACUGAGGAGCGAAAGCCAGGGGAGCAAACGGG
Molecule: ribosomal RNA, 253 nt
Filed under: uncultured bacterium
Lineage: Bacteria
Description: partial 16S ribosomal RNA
Rfam family: Bacterial small subunit ribosomal RNA
Source: RNAcentral